UGGGGAAUAUUGCGCAAUGGGGGGAACCCUGACGCAGCCAUGCCGCGUGAAUGAAGAAGGCCUUAGGGUUGUAAAGUUCUUUCGGUAUUGAGGAAGGUUGAUGUGUUAAUAGCACAUCAAAUUGACGUUAAAUACAGAAGAAGCACCGGCUAACUCCGUGCCAGCAGCCGCGGUAAUACGGAGGGUGCGAGCGUUAAUCGGAAUAACUGGGCGUAAAGGGCACGCAGGCGGUUAUUUAAGUGAGGUGUGAAAGCCCUGGGCUUAACCUGGGAAUUGCAUUUCAGACUGGGUAACUAGAGUACUUUAGGGAGGGGUAGAAUUCCACGUGUAGCGGUGAAAUGCGUAGAGAUGUGGAGGAAUACCGAAGGCGAAGGCAGCCCCUUGGGAAUGUACUGACGCUCAUGUGCGAAAGCGUGGGGAGCAAACAGGAUUAGAUACCCUGGUAGUCCACGCUGUAAACGCUGUCGAUUUGGGGGUUGGGGUUUAACUCUGGCGCCCGUAGCUAACGUGAUAAAUCGACCGCCUGGGGAGUACGGCCGCAAGGUU
This 546-nucleotide ribosomal RNA is filed under the name uncultured bacterium. RNAcentral describes it as "bacterial SSU rRNA". It matches the Rfam family "Bacterial small subunit ribosomal RNA", at positions 355 to 895 of the family's 1533-position model. The record is from RNAcentral.